RNAcentral lists this transfer RNA (66 nucleotides) under Protocapritermes odontomachus. RNAcentral's name for it is "tRNA-Glu". It matches the Rfam family "tRNA". From Rfam's summary of the family: Transfer RNA (tRNA) molecules are approximately 80 nucleotides in length. The record is from RNAcentral. Lineage: Eukaryota; Metazoa; Arthropoda; Insecta; Blattodea; Termitidae.
AUUUAUAUAGUUUAGAGACAAACAUUACAUUUUCACUGUAAAGACAAAGACAUACUUUUAUAAAUA